AGUGGGCAACUCACCUGGACACGGCUACCUCAGGGAUUCAAAAAUUCGCCCACCAUCUUCGACGAGGCAAUACACGAGGACGUGGGUGAGUACAGAAGGGAGCACCCUGGCCUCACCCUCCUACAGUACGUAGAUGACAUCCUGAUUGCUGCCAACACGGCCAAAGACUGAGCGAGGGACCCAGGACCUGCUGGCUACCCUGGGGGCCUUAGGGUACCGGGCAUCUGCGAAGAAGGCUCAGAUAUCCAGGGAGAGGAUUCACCAACAGGACACCAAAAUAGAGGAAGUUGUAUCUGCCUGCAAGACCUGCCAACUCACCAACGUGAGGGCCACAUCAAAUAAAAAAGGAACCAGGCUCAGAGGCACCAGACCGGGAGCCCAAUGGGAAGUCGACUUCAUUGAAGUCAAGCCAGGAAAGUAUGGUUAUAAAUAUCUUUUAGUAUUUACAGACACCUUCUCUGGCUGGGUGGAG
Molecule: long non-coding RNA, 472 nt
Organism: Leopardus geoffroyi (Geoffroy's cat)
Lineage: Eukaryota; Metazoa; Chordata; Mammalia; Carnivora; Felidae
Exons: 2
Source: RefSeq, a predicted model, not a curated record